Suricata suricatta (meerkat) is the source of this 477-nucleotide long non-coding RNA. RefSeq lists it as uncharacterized. Lineage: Eukaryota; Metazoa; Chordata; Mammalia; Carnivora; Herpestidae. The record is from RefSeq and is a predicted model, not a curated record. The transcript has 4 exons.
GACCCUCUCUCAGCCCUGAGGCUGAGGACCGCCUGGAGAAGGCACAUCCAAGAGAAGUCCUCGGCAGUGUGCGGGAGGCCCUCGAGGAGUGGUCCUAGGACAGAAGCAGCGUGAAGGGAAAGAUCACCCACAGCUGAACUGCUAGGAGCAAUGAUGUAGGAAGCACGUCCAUCAGGAAUGGAAGUCAGGCUUUUGAAUUUGGACCUCGGAAGCUCUCUCAGACAGGAAGAUCUGCAGUCAUACUUGGGCCAGAGCUCUAUUCUAAAGGAAUGGCUUCCCUGGCUUCUGGAUGUUGACAGCAUUCACAAGACAGAAGACAGGAGGAGGAACAAAAUGUGCCCAGGAAUAUAAUGACCAGGUCCCUUCUGGAAACUCCAGGAUGAGAGGAAAGGAGAAAACAGCAAAUAAGGUUCAUUUUUAACCUUGGCGAGGCCGGCAAACCCUGGACAUAAGACACCAGUGUAACUGAGCCAUUAA